RNAcentral lists this long non-coding RNA (719 nucleotides) under Vulpes vulpes (red fox). RNAcentral describes it as "lncRNA (ENSVVUG00000004808.1)". The record is from RNAcentral. Lineage: Eukaryota; Metazoa; Chordata; Mammalia; Carnivora; Canidae.
UUGUAGCCAAAUUACCACUGCCCAUCUUUGUGUUAUUUGCUGACAUUGCUUGAUGUGAGUCAUGACAAAUGGGGUGCAAUUCUAGGUCCUGGCAGCAGAAUGCUUUAUAGAAGAGAAGAACAGCUGCAACUGGCCCAUCUCAGGAUUAAAAAAAAAAAAACAGCAAAUGUGAAAAGACACAGGAGAAGCCAAGAGAACCUUGAGGCAGAUGCGCUAAAGGCAGGGUAAGAAAGGAAGAUGUUGGAAAUUACCACCAGAAAACAAAAUUAUUUCCACUGACUCAUCCUGAGGAGAGCACAGAUCAUUCUCUGUGAUGACUCCUGCCUAACAUCCAUUCCCCCACCUUAUCCCUUAUUUACUUGUCACUGUGCUUUUGGUCAGUGGUUCUUAAACCUGGCUUACUUUGUAAUCAUCUGGGGAGAUUUAAAAACUGACGGUUCAGCAAUAGCUUAGACCAAUGAAAUCACAGUAUCUGGGAUAGAAUUGAACUAUCUGUAUUUUAUAAUUCUCUUAAUCCCACAGAAGUCAAAUAAUAUAAACACUGCUCAGUUAUCGAGAACAGUUUGCAUUUAUUUCACCAAAAACACCAGGACAUUCCAUAUUGCUGCCUUUUGCUUUUGCCACCCAUUUUGCUUGGCAAAACUCAGUUCAUCUUUCAACACCCAGAGUGUCUCUUCCUAUGCAAAGCCACCUUAACUUCAGACCACCCUUCUUCAAAG